AUUGGGAAGUUAUCUUGUCCAGCGAAGGUGAAAUUUUUUAUUUGGCGGACGCUGCAUGGUACUCUUCCAUGUCGUGUCACGCUUGCUAAUAGACACAUGAAAGUUUCACCUUUAUGCCCUUGUUGUGCUUCUGGUUUAGAAGACACAAAUCAUAUGUUGUUUCAGUGCUAGAAGGCAAAAGAGGUCUGGAGAAGGCUUGGAUUAGACGAGAUCAUUGCUCAAGCUUGUGAAGUUGAUCGUGCUGGAGAGGCGGUCCUCGGGUUUUUGUUGCUCAUGCCUGACCAAGAUUUAUCUAUUAUGGGGUUGCAGAAUACUCGGGAGAUGAUUGCCAUUACGUCUUGGUAUUUAUGGUGGGAAAGACAUAAAUUAGUGCACAAGGAAAGAAUUCAAGAUGCAAAACAGAUUUCAAUGGGGGUACAAGCUCUUACAGCUAAUUAUGUUGUUGCUUCCAGUCCAAGGGCUUCUAUGAAAAGAGGGGGUUGGAUUCGUCCCCUGGUGGGUUUUGUGAAACUUAAUGUUGAUGCUUCUUUUAAUCAUGAUCUUCUUAAAGGUACGGAGGGGGCUGUCCAGAGGAACGACAAAAGGAACUUUAUUGCAGGGGGUACUUGGAAAAUUGAUCAUUGCAUCGAUGCUCUAACAGCAGAAGCUUGGGCUCUCAGAUUCGGUCUUUCACUAGCGCAACGUGCGGGUUGCAAUCGUCUAGUUAUUAAUUCUGAUAAUUUGGAGGUUAUUGAAACGAUGAAUAAUGGCGGACGGUCAGCAGGAGCGGCGGCGGCAACCUUUGAUGAUUGCUAUUUUUGGCGUGUGAUUUUCCUACCUCUAGGUUUGAACAUUGUAAUAGGGAAGCCAAUAGACUACAUAAAACAAAGGGUUAAAGGUUUAGUUGGAUUGACUGAAAACGCUGUAAGAAAGUCCCUACAUGUUAGCCUCAGAUGUACGAACUUUGACUGA
This 951-nucleotide ribosomal RNA is filed under the name Triticum aestivum (bread wheat). Its description in RNAcentral is "partial small subunit ribosomal RNA". Lineage: Eukaryota; Viridiplantae; Streptophyta; Magnoliopsida; Poales; Poaceae. The record is from RNAcentral.